This is a long non-coding RNA of Cryptotermes secundus, 895 nucleotides long. RefSeq lists it as uncharacterized. Lineage: Eukaryota; Metazoa; Arthropoda; Insecta; Blattodea; Kalotermitidae. The record is from RefSeq and is a predicted model, not a curated record. The transcript has 2 exons.
CAUACCUAGAGGUGUUAGAACGAAAAUAUUUUCUUGCAUAAUACAUAUAAUUUUUGCCAUGUGUAUAAAAAGAUUAUACAGAUGUUUCCAGUCAUGACUGAGAACAACAGUUUGUCUAAAGGGCUGAAGUAAAAUGUAUAGGUGAGAAUAGGAACUUUGCCAUAAGAUGCAUUCAUAAGGUAGGAGUAAAAACAGUUAUUUUAUGAAACCAAAGAAAGUGUAAAAUAUUUCAGUGGCCCCUAAGCAUGAACUUUACUUGUUACCAUUAAUUGUCAAUUUUUAUAAACUGAUCCCAAGCAGGAUAGCUUACUGAGUGGAAUUAGCUACACAUUAGAUGACAGGGCUUCAGUUAGCAGUAAAACAGGAUUUUUCUUUUUGCCACAACCCAGUCACACAUCCCAUGGAUAUUAGGGGCUCUACCCACGGGGACUAACCAGCCAGAGUGUCUAGGGUUGAGGUUAAGAAUGCGUGCAAUUUUACCUCUACUCUGAUGAUAUGCCUUCAUGACAUGGUGCUUAGGUACUGGGACAACUUCAUUGUUAUGUAUGAAUUAAAUGCACCUGGAGAAACUGAGAUUUAUUAUGUACUUAUUUUAUAACAUAAAAAUUAUUGAAAAUGUAAAAAAUGUUUUAAGUCUGUAUCAUGCGAUUUGAUUUCUAUAUAUGCAUAAUUAAGCUACAUCUGUAAAAUAUAUUUUGUAUUGAAAUAAAUGUAAUUCUCUUGUAAAUAGUGUAACUGUAGAUUUAGAGAAAGUUAAAUUUAUGACAUUAAAAUGUACUUACAAUCAAAUAAUUACAUAUUGCUUAAUUAAAAAAAAUGUUAUUUGAUUGAGCAUAAAUUUGGAGAAAUCUUCGAAGCAUAGAGGAGCAAUGUAGACCUAUUUUUAAACUUUCUU